AAAGUCUGAAUGCUUUUCUUGGCUGAUUUUAUGCUCCAUGUGUCAAUACAAAUUAUGAUUCAUCGAUCGGGAUUUCUAUUCUUAACAGUUGGUAGCAGAGGAUGGUUUUGUGUUGACACAUGAGCGGAGAUUGGACUGGCCGUUCAGGCGCAGACUUUCUGGAACAGUACUGCUGCCAACAGUACUCUGGUGUGGGGCCCACAUGAAAGCAGAGCUGCUUCCUGUGGUCUGACGGGGACCAUGUGGACCGUGGGGGCCGGAUUUUGCGGGUUCAGGGCCGUGCGAGGAGGUGAGGAGAAAAGCCUUCGCUGUUCUUAGCCACGCUGACUUGGACAUUUGCACUUUCUACACAUAUGAAUUGUACCAUCUUCUGCUGGACUGCUGUUUGAGGGCAAAGACCUAGUGGACGAUUCCUACAGGUUCUACAGAGGUCAGUGAGGUUGGAUUGAUUUUUCCUGUUGUCACAUGAGGACGGAUUGCAGUUUACAGGAUCUGAUCCUUGAGGAAACACCUGGCUAAAGGACGAGACCCAGGCGUCAUUUCUGAGGGUCUCCUAUGGCAGAAAAGACCACCGGAUUCUACCCGACGUGAUACGGAGAUUUGAAAACAAUGACAUGCUGUAUCUCUCCGUCUCUCCCUCGCUCUGUCAAGGGGGGCCACACACUUUGUCCAGAUUUUUCUGCACAGCGGGACUGAAUGCUGCCCUGGACAGCUUCUGAUGGGACAAAUGGAACAUCACAUGUAAAGUCAUCCUGAGACUCAGAGGCGGUCCUGCUUGUCUGUUGCCAUGAUUGGUCCUGGGUUCUUCGCCUCUGGUCAUGUGACCUAGGCUCCGGGGCCCAGUCUACAGGUUGGAGACAAAAUGGCUGCCAACAGAACUUGGUCCUUGGCUGUUCAGUGCAUCACCUCCAACAUAGAGAAGAGCAGYRGUACCGAUAGAACCCCACCUGCCUAUCAGAUGGUUUCCCAGAACCAAAAGACGACUGUGGAACUCCAGCUUUCCAGAGUUUAAGGGCAGUACUAGUAUCUAGUGACAAAAAUAUAAUUUUUUUCUUGAUUUCGCUUUUUGUUGUGUUUUUUUGUGUUGCAGAAUAAAGUCCAAUCCUUUCUGGGUGUGCUGGGAUGUGAGUCUGUGGGCGCCUUCCACGAUUGCUGGACCAAUUUACAACUGAAACGUCACACUGAAGCCUCGCGGGCCUGUCGGGGUUUCCCAUUGGCCUGCGCCGCCUCUGCAUCUGGACACACGCAGAAACUGAUUUGACAUUGAUAGGUUUUGCUGUAACAAAGACUGAUCUGAUUCGAUUUUAUUGAUCUCAUUACAAUUCAAUCUUACUGCAUUUGAUUUUACCAGUAUCAUUACAUUUUACUUAUACGGAAUUUUAAACCUUUAAUAAUGUUAGUUUCAUAAUAUCAUUAGAUUUCGAUUGUACUGCAUGUAAUGCUAAUUUACUUCAUUGGUUUGAAAAUUCAAAAUGUGCUCGUUUUAUGUUCUGUGCCCUUAACAUUUCUUUUCAUCUGUUAACUUUGCAUCCUUUCAUAGCGUAUUAACUUCUUCACCAUUAUCUUAACAUUUCAUUGAUUCAUGACUUUUUAACUUCAGAAGUAGUAUCUUAACAUUCGUUGUCUGGAUUUUCUAUUUUAAGUACUACCUCACAUUUAUUCAUUGCUUCAUUCAUUUUGGGUUUAUUAAAUCUUGCAUAUUACCUAACAUUUUAUUGAUUUUA
Molecule: non-coding RNA, 1724 nt
Organism: Poecilia reticulata (guppy)
Lineage: Eukaryota; Metazoa; Chordata; Actinopteri; Cyprinodontiformes; Poeciliidae
Source: RefSeq, a predicted model, not a curated record